GAGUUUGAUCGUGGCUCAGAACGAACGCUGGCGGCAGGCUUAACACAUGCAAGUCGAGCGCCCCGCAAGGGGAGCGGCAGACGGGUGAGUAACGCGUGGGGAUCUGCCUAGUGGUACGGAACAACUCAGAGAAAUUUGAGCUAAUACCGGAUGAUGUCGCAAGACCAAAGAUUUAUCGCCCAAAGAUGAGCCCGCGUAGGAUUAGCUAGUUGGUGAGGUAAAGGCUCACCAAGGCGACGAUCCUUAGCUGGUCUGAGAGGAUGAUCAGCCACACUGGGACUGAGACACGGCCCAGACUCCUACGGGAGGCAGCAGUGGGGAAUAUUGGACAAUGGGCGAAAGCCUGAUCCAGCAAUGCCGCGUGAGUGAUGAAGGCCUUAGGGUUGUAAAGCUCUUUUACCCGGGAUGAUAAUGACAGUACCGGGAGAAUAAGCUCCGGCUAACUCCGUGCCAGCAGCCGCUGU
This 464-nucleotide ribosomal RNA is filed under the name uncultured Alphaproteobacteria bacterium. RNAcentral describes it as "bacterial SSU rRNA". It matches the Rfam family "Bacterial small subunit ribosomal RNA", at positions 9 to 521 of the family's 1533-position model. Lineage: Bacteria; Pseudomonadati; Pseudomonadota; Alphaproteobacteria. The record is from RNAcentral.